AGUCCAUCCUGGAGGAAAAGAGUGUGGCCCUUUGGUGAACUCGGGGCCAUGUGGUGCUGAGGCUGGAGAAAUGUCAGGGAAAGACAAAAGUACUUGACCAGACACAGCCACAUGCAGGCAUCUUUAGAAAGUGGGCAUGGCUACCUUGCCUAGAGAAGUGGAAGGAUCCAUCUAGUCAGCUCAGGGCCAACCACCCCUCAGUUUCAUGUCCCUGAGCAGCAUGUGAUCUGGAAGAUCUUGAGGGGAGUACCCUGCCUGUACCCCACCCUCAGGGCUCCUCUUCCUCUGUGGUAGGACCUAGACUUCCCUUGGGAGGCUUCUCUACCCUGGGGCUUGUUGUCUCAGCUCCACAAGUGGGAAUCAGACCCUGAAGAGUUUCUCUCUGAGUCCUCCAGAGGAAGCUGCUGAUCCCCUUGUUGGGUACGUGUCUAUACCCUGUGUGCAAUGAGGAGUGGGGGAACCUCACUGUGACGGGUGGCCUCGUCACUGACUUGCGUCUUUGGCCCCUUGUUUCCAAGGCCAGAAUCUCCAAAGGACUAAGGCCAGGUAGAGACCUGUGGCCUCC
This 565-nucleotide long non-coding RNA is filed under the name Marmota monax (woodchuck). Lineage: Eukaryota; Metazoa; Chordata; Mammalia; Rodentia; Sciuridae. The record is from RNAcentral.